GAUGAACGCUGGCGGCGUGCCUAAUACAUGCAAGUCGAGCGAACGGGCGCGAAGCUUGCUUCUCGGAUGUUAGCGGCGGACGGGUGAGUAACACGUGGAUAACCUACCUAUAAGACUGGGAUAACUUCGGGAAACCGGAGCUAAUACCGGAUACUAUUUUGAACCGCAUGGUUCAAAAGUGAAAGACGGUCUUGCUGUCACUUAUAGAUGGGUCCGCGCUGGAUUAGCUAGUUGGUAAGGUAACGGCUUACCAAGGCAACGAUGCAUAGCUGACCUGAGAGGGUGAUCGGCCACACUGGAACUGAGACACGGCCCAGACUCCUACGGGAGGCAGCAGUAGGGAAUCUUCCGCAAUGGGCGCAAGCCUGACGGAGCAACGCCGCGUGAGGGAUGAAGGUCUUCGGAUCGUAAAACUCUGUUAUUAGGGACGAACAGAUGUGUAAGUAACUGGGCACAUCUUGACGGUACCUAAUCAGAAAGCCACGGCUAACUACGUG
RNAcentral lists this ribosomal RNA (497 nucleotides) under uncultured bacterium. RNAcentral describes it as "partial 16S ribosomal RNA". It matches the Rfam family "Bacterial small subunit ribosomal RNA", at positions 28 to 507 of the family's 1533-position model. The record is from RNAcentral.